UGCAAGUCGAGCGCACCUUCGGGUGAGCGGCGGACGGGUUAGUAACGCGUGGGAACAUACCCUUUGGUACGGAAUAGCCUCUGGAAACGGAGAGUAAUACCGUAUGAGCCCUUCGGGGGAAAGAUUUAUCGCCAAAGGAUUGGCCCGCGUUAGAUUAGGUAGUUGGUGGGGUAAUGGCCUACCAAGCCUACGAUCUAUAGCUGGUUUUAGAGGAUGAUCAGCAACACUGGGACUGAGACACGGCCCAGACUCCUACGGGAGGCAGCAGUGGGGAAUCUUGGACAAUGGGGGCAACCCUGAUCCAGCCAUGCCGCGUGAGUGAUGAAGGCCUUAGGGUCGUAAAGCUCUUUCGCCUGUGAAGAUAAUGACGGUAGCAGGUAAAGAAACCCCGGCUAACUCCGUGCCAGCAGCCGCGGUAAUACGGAGGGGGUUAGCGUUGUUCGGAAUUACUGGGCGUAAAGCGCACGUAGGCGGACUGGAAAGUUGGGGGUGAAAUCCCAGGGCUCAACCCUGGAACUGCCUCCAAAACUAUCAGUCUAGAGUUCGAGAGAGGUGAGUGGAAUUCCGAGUGUAGAGGUGAAAUUCGUAGAUAUUCGGAGGAACACCAGUGGCGAAGGCGGCUCACUGGCUCGAUACUGACGCUGAGGUGCGAAAGUGUGGGGAGCAAACAGGAUUAGAUACCCUGGUAGUCCACACCGUAAACGAUGAAUGCCAGUCGUCGGGUAGCAUGCUAUUCGGUGACACACCUAACGGAUUAAGCAUUCCGCCUGGGGAGUACGGUCGCAAGAUUAAAACUCAAAGGAAUUGACGGGGGCCCGC
This 819-nucleotide ribosomal RNA is filed under the name Ruegeria sp. AU609. RNAcentral's name for it is "bacterial SSU rRNA". It matches the Rfam family "Bacterial small subunit ribosomal RNA", at positions 56 to 924 of the family's 1533-position model. Lineage: Bacteria; Pseudomonadati; Pseudomonadota; Alphaproteobacteria; Rhodobacterales; Roseobacteraceae. The record is from RNAcentral.